Gasterosteus aculeatus aculeatus (three-spined stickleback) is the source of this 4819-nucleotide long non-coding RNA. NCBI's taxonomy places the organism in Eukaryota, Metazoa, Chordata, Actinopteri, Perciformes, Gasterosteidae. The record is from Ensembl.
ACGGUCAUGGAUUUUUAAAUGUUAAAAAAAAAACCGGAAGACUAUGUACAGUAAUAACCGAAGAGCAUACGUUUUAAAUAAUGUAUCAAUGGGUUUGUCUCUUUGUAAUUUUGUUUAUAGAUUCAGUGGGAAACAACAUGGAUCUCAAACGGACAGUAUACAUGUUACGGGACCUACAAAAGCAGCAGCAACAACAACUGCUAAAGCUACAACUGCUGUACCUACAACUGCAGCACCAACCACUGGGGCACCUACAACUGCAGAACCUACCACUGCAGAACCUACAACUGCAGCAUCUACAACUGCAUUGCCUACUACUGCAGGACCUACAACAGCAGCACCAACCAAUGUGGCACCUACAACUGCAUAUCCAACCACUGUGGCACCUACAACUGCGUUGCCAACGACUGCAGGACCUGAAACAGCAGCACCGACCACUGUGGCAGGAACAACUGAUUUAACAACCACUGAAGGACCUAAAACAGCACAGACAACUGCAGAACCUAAAUCUGCAGUACAUACAACUGCCUUGCCAACCACUGCAGGACCUACAACAGCAGCACAAACCACUGUAGCACCUACCACUGCAGCAGCUACAACUACAGAGCCUAAAACUGCCUUGCCUACUACUGCAGGACCUACAACAGCAUUGCCAACCACUAGAGGAUCAACAAAAGGCGUACUAACCACUGUGGCACCUACAACUGCAGAAACGACCAUUGCAGGAGCAACAACUGCCUUUCCAACUACUACAGGACCUGCAACAGCAGCACCAAUCACUGUGGCGCCUACAACUGCAGCACCUACCACUGCAGCAGUAACAACUGUCGAACCCAAAACUGCUUUGCCUUCUACUGCAGGAUCUACAACCGCAUUGCCAACAACUACAGGACCUACAACAGCCGUACCAACCACUGUGCCACCAGCAACUGCAGCACCUAUUACUGCAGCAGUAACAACUUCCUUGCCAACCACUGCAGGACCUACAACAGCAGCAGGACCUACAACAGCAGCACCUACCACUGUGGCCCCCACAACUGAUGCACCUACACCUGCAUUGCCAACAACUGCAGGACCUACAACAGCAGCGCAAGCCACGGUGGAACCUACCACUGAAGCACCUUCCACUGUAGCAGCUACAACUGUAACAGCAACAGCAACCACUGCCUUGCCAAACACUGCAGGACCUACAACUGCAGCAUCUACCACUGAAACAGUUACCACUGCAGCACCUACAACUGCAUUGCCUACGACUUUAGGACCUACAGUACAACAGCAGGGCCAACACUGAGGCACCUACCACUGAAACACCUACCAUUGCAGCAGCUACAACUACCUUUCCAAACACUGCAGGACCUACAAGAGCAGGAUUAACCACUGUGGCACCUACAACUGCGGCACCUACAACUGCAGCACCUACAACUCCCUUGCCAACCACUGCAGGACAUACGACAGCAGCACCAACCACUUUGGCACUAUCAACUGCAGAAUUUACCGCUGCAGAACCUACAACUGUCUUGCCUGCUACUGCAGGACCUACAACAGCAGCACCAACCACUUUGGCACCUACCACUGAAGCACCCACCACUGCCGCAGCUACAACUGCAGCAGCAACAACUGCAUUGCCAACAACUGUAGGACCUACAACAGCAGCACAAACCACCAUAGCACUUGCAACUGCUUUGCCAACUACUGCAGCACCAACCACUGCAGAAGCUACAACUGCUGCACCUACAACUACCUUGCCAAAAACCGCAGGAUCUACAACAGCAGCACCAACCACUGUGGCACCUACCACUAAUGCAGCAACUGCUACUGAAGCACCAAGAGUUGUCUUUCUCUUAGCAACCUUGCAACAACCAUUCGUAGAAGAACUCAAUAAUCGAAACAGCCAGGAAUUGAGUUAAAAGUUCUUACUGUGGUUAGUACUUCACUCACAUAAAAUGGUUUUAUGUCAGUUUUUUAUUAAAUUUAGGACAUUACUGUAUUCAUAGUUUGUUCACGUUCUGCAUUUUCUUUAUUUCUACAGUUUGAUUUUAUCUACGGAACAAGAUUUGAUUUCAUUUUUCUCCACACUUAUGUGAUCAUUUUUAGGUCAUAUUUCAAAUGUUCAGAGUCCUACUGUAUUUAUUUACGAUAUUUUGAAUUAGUGAUUACAUAAAAAAUGAAAUACCACAACCAUGCAGCUGUUGGUUCUGUUAACAUUAUUUGAUUGACAUUUUCUUUCACAAUGUAGUCCACGUGCAGCGUUGACACGAAUGUCUACAACCGAAGUAAAGGUUGGCAUUGAGUUCAAUCAGCUUCUGUCACUGUAUUUUGUAAGUAUAUUGGCCUCCGGUUAAUCGUAAUGGUUUGGAAGACAAAGAAAUACACCCCAUGUCACUAACAGUCUGUGAGUUGGUUUGUGUGCUUUCCUGAUCCCUCUUUGGCAAAUCGCUUGUUUGACAAACAACACACAAUCUAAAUAUAAAUAUCAUGAAGUCUGCAUUGGCAUUAGUAAGGCUACUUAGACUGUGAUUUACCAAAGUGAUAUCCAUCUUGUAAUAUGUGGGUUUGAUCAAGAGAACACCCUCUGGCUAUCGUCAUUCAUUGACUCCACCUUUAUUUGUUUUUUACAGAAAUUAACAUUACAUCAAAUGUUCUCCAACAGACUGCUUCAGCUCCGCUGUCACAAGGACCGAUACAGGAGAUCAUUCCUGCCCAGUGCAAUAACACUUUACAAUAAAUCAUCUCUGGCCAAAUAAUGACAAUAACAACCCUGUACUGCUGUAAUGUUGCUGCUCUUCCUCUUCCUCUUCUCCUUUUACAAAUUAUUAUCAUUGUCUCUUUUUGAAGGUUAUUCUUUUGUUUUAGUUUAUUUAUUUUUUUAUUAUAUUGUAUAUAAUGUGUAUCUUUUAAUUCUAUUUUCUUCCCUGUACAUGCUGCUAGGACACCAAAAUUUACCUCCUGAGGGAUCAAUAAAGCAUCUAUCUAUCUAUCUAACUCCAUUGUUGUGGAUGUUUCACAAAGAAACGUUACAUCAUAUUAUACAACUGCACCCUCAACUUUGAAUACUGCAGCACCCACAACAGCUGCACCCGUAACAUCUCAGGCGGUCACAACAAGGCGAUUGACUUUCAGAUCUGCUGGAGAGACAUUUACUUCAGACUUGCUGAAUCCAUCUGCUUCAAAGAAGAGCCUCAUUGAUCACGUCAACACUCAAGCUGUUCAACCAGAGAGCAUUUCCUACGUUCCGCUCCUUAACAGUGACUUCAUUCAGAAAUGGAUCAAUUAUAAAUAACAUGGAUCUUGGAUUUUUGUCAACUUCUGUUCCUAAUGGCACUCAGAUUUGAAAUGUUUUGGUUAAAGCAGCUUCAACCAUCACAGCCUUCAAUGUUGACCUCAACUCAAUUGUUAGGUCUCAAGUGGAGUAAGACACAAGAUCAGUCUCAUCACUGCAUCCUUCCUUGUAUUGUUGUCAUGGAUACUGUCAAACCAGCAAUAGCAUCAUCACUGACUACUGUUAGAAAAGCCCUGAUUGUAUGAUUGCCAUCACUGGCAUGACAAAUUACUUCUUGAUUCUUGUCCAAGAAACCUUGUACAUCUUUGGAUAAACACACUAUCGAAUGUAAUUUUCCAUUGACCACACACCAUAAUGACAGUGGAAUAGAUAGAUAGGAAUAGUGUCUUUUGAUCUGAACACGUUUGCGGCUGGGAAUGUACAGGAUUAUGGACCAAAAACAAUAUGUAGCCAAUUUUAAUAAUCCAGAUAGAAUACCAUUUAGCCCUGAGAUGUAAAAGAAACAAUGUUUAUUAGCAAUCCCAACUAUAAACAAAUACAUAGAUUUGAAUUAUCAUGAUAUGAAUUACUUUGCCUCUCAGAUUAUUCUAUAUAUUCAAACACCACCACAUAGCCUAAGAGACACACUGUAAUCAAUUCAGCUUAAAAUAAACACAAACUGGCAAAGAAACCCCUUCUGUUAUUUUAGGGUUAAACCUAAACACACUUUUAAAACCAUAUAUGUGACAAUACUUUCUUUUAUUCUUUGGUCACCCUCAAGGUUAGAUUUAAGUGAAUGUUUCGAUUAAAUUUAAUGGAAUUGAAAGAAAUAUUGACGAUAUAUUUUCAAAUGGUGUUAGUGGUCAAAAGGUGUAUAUAUGUAUAAUUUAUAGCUAAACUCUUUGAGAUUUAUUGUUUUCACAAUCUUUGUCUGAACCUUCACAAUGAUCAUAACACAAAAUAUUGAAUAAUUAAAAUAGUCUCUUCUGUAAUGUUUUGAAACUUCUGUUGUCAAAGGUUACAUACAUAUCUUUUUGUCAUGCCCUGUGGCUAUAUCCCUGGUAAUUAAGAGAAAAAUGUGUACCAAAGUGUACACUUAUUCAUCAACAGAGGGAGCCAACACAGCACUAUGCAGUCUCAAUCACAUAGGUUUUAUAAUUUUAUAACCCCAGAUGGGUUUUACCUUCUGUGCUUUGAAUCAAUUGCUUUACAAUAUAUAAGGUCAUUGAUUUCUUUUUCUUUUUAAAAUAAGUAUGUUUAACUUCCCUUUUCCACUUUAUCUAAUUAAUUAAAAAAAACAGCAAUAACAAAAUCAAUUUUUCUAAAAGAUUGUAGUUUAGAUUGGUUUCAAGUAGCCCUUAAUUUUAUUUACCACAUUUUACAGUAGUAGAUUAGUAGUAUGAAUUAAAUCAUAUUGCAAACAAGUUGUAAAGAUAGGGCAUUGUGUCACAUGGUUUCCCCUCAGAAACGAAAAUGAAUAAAACAUCAAGUGGAACUGACGUGACAUGUAAUGUUUUCCAACCCAGUGCGGCUCAUGUUCCAGACCAACUAAAAGAACGG